GGGCCCGCACAAGCGGUGGAGUAUGUGGUUUAAUUCGAUGCAACGCGAAGAACCUUACCAGGGUUUGACAUCCUGCGAAUUCUGGUAAGCAGAAAGGUAGCUUGCGGACGCUGCGGAACGAUGUAGAGUGGCUAGGUAUGGGCUUGCUCGGCUUGCAUGCCGUCCAGGCUCGGUUGCGUGAGGAUUGUUGGGGUUUAAGUCCCCGCAACGAGCGCCAACCCAUCGUCUUUAGUUGCCAGCAUUUAGUUGGGCACUCUAGAAGAGACUGCCGGUGAUAAAACCGGAGGAAAGGUGUGGAAUGACGUCAAGUCAUCAUGCCCCUUACAUCUGGGCUACACACGUACUACAAUGCUACGGACAAAAGGGCAGCAAAGUUCGCGAGGAGCUAAGCAAAAUCCCAAUAAACGUGGCUC
Molecule: ribosomal RNA, 413 nt
Filed under: uncultured bacterium
Lineage: Bacteria
Description: bacterial SSU rRNA
Rfam family: Bacterial small subunit ribosomal RNA
Source: RNAcentral